This is a non-coding RNA of Chiloscyllium plagiosum (whitespotted bambooshark), 1095 nucleotides long. The record is from RefSeq and is a predicted model, not a curated record. Lineage: Eukaryota; Metazoa; Chordata; Chondrichthyes; Orectolobiformes; Hemiscylliidae.
UGCUUUUAACAAGCUAAUUCACACAUGAUUAGAUGAGUUACUUCUAUCUUGUUAGUCACCACCUAACAUCCUUUACUCAUGAAAAUGACACUAUUAUGGCAGACUGACAGGAGGUAUUAAAUCUUUCACACAAUGUGCUUCAUGACGCAGGACUCUGUGCUGUAUGGCCUGUUCACCGGGACGCAUACCAAGACAAACAUCGACUGCGCCUGAAAGACCAUCAACUCAAUGAAAGAAGCUCUUUGGUCUGCCCGAAACUUGAUGGUCUUCCAGAGCAAGGAGUUGACCCCGACCAACAAUUGCAGACUGGCUCAUUCCAAUGAACUGGACGAGAUACUGAGGGAUCCAGCGAAACUUGAGGCAGCUAAAGUCUUUCUGCUAAAGUACAAUGUGUGCACCUACAUGAAUCACAAGGACCUUUGUUCCCUUAACAUCCACGCAGCAUGUGACCAUCUGCACCGCAUCAUGCAGCUGAUGACAAGUUACUAGGCAGUAACCUGCAGCAAAAGACAAUAUUGGCAUCCUCGAACAGUGGAUUCAGUGCCUUACCAGCUCAGGAUCCUUAUGGUUUAUUGUGGGUUGAUCAAAAUAGGUGUAGAAAGAGAGACAGAAACCUGGAGGGCAUGUCACGUGAGUAUGCCUCAUGACAGCCAUGCAUCAUUUCCUGCAAUGUAUGUACAAGUAGAAUAAUAUGCUUGAGCAUUAACAGGUAUUUUGGUGAAACUUCAAGUUCUUGGAUUGAGCCAUGCCACCUUACAAUACAGACUCGAGAUGGUGAGAAACAGAGAGAUGGUAUACUGCAUAAUGUUUUAAAGAACGUCAGUGUGACUUCAUGCGACUCCAAAUACAUAACAAUGUGGUUGACUUUUAACUGCCCUCUGUUAGGGAUGGGCAACAACUGCUGGCUUAGCCAAUGAUUUCCACAUCUCUUAAAUAAAUUUAAAAUAACUAUCUUUUCUAUUUAUUUUGGCAUUUCUUGCAAAUUGAUCUGAUGACUGGCAAGAUGAGAAGCUUUUUGUUGCUUUUUUCAGCAAUAUUUAAGUUCCAUACUGUCAAAUAACCAUUACAAAUAGCUUUAUCCAGAAAAUGCAUCUU